GGAUCCGCACAAGAGGUGGAUCAUGUGGUUUAAUUCGUCGGUAAGCGAGGAACCUCACCAGGGUUUGAAACCUAGCUGCAUUAUCCAGAAAUGGAUAAGCCUUAGAGGGUGCUAGGCAGGUGUUGCAUGGUUGUCGUCAGCUCGUGUCGUAAGAUGUUCCGUUAAGUCGGGAAACGAGCGCAACCCCUUUCGUGUGUUAUAUAUGUCACGCGAUACUGCCCCAUACUUUGAUCAUAAAUAUUUUGUGAACAAAGUAUGGGGAGGAAGGAGGGGAUGACGUCAAAUCCGCAUGGCCCUUUGACACCCUGGGCAACACACGUGAUACAAUGGCUGGUUACAAAGGGUUGCCAAGUCGCGAGACGGAGCUAAUCCCAGAAAACCAGUCUCAGUUCGGACUGGAGUCUGCAACUCGACUCCACGAAGCCGGAAUCUCUAGUAAUCGUGAAUCAUAACGUCACGGUGAAUACGUUCUCGGAUCUU
Molecule: ribosomal RNA, 480 nt
Filed under: uncultured bacterium
Lineage: Bacteria
Description: bacterial SSU rRNA
Rfam family: Bacterial small subunit ribosomal RNA
Source: RNAcentral